RNAcentral lists this unclassified non-coding RNA (901 nucleotides) under Hevea brasiliensis (rubber tree). Lineage: Eukaryota; Viridiplantae; Streptophyta; Magnoliopsida; Malpighiales; Euphorbiaceae. The record is from RNAcentral.
ACCAAGCACCCCAAAUACUAUCAAGCCGCUUGGCACACUUCUUCCCAAUCUUUGUGACACUAAUAUUUGUCUCAACCUCAUAAUGUUGGGAACCAAGGCCUACAUCUAGCAUAUCACAUGUAUCAUUCCACAACUGAGGAGGGGGGCUGGGCUCGAGUGGGAGAUUAAUAUCAGGCGGCUGUAAAUGGUUAACAGUCCGGAUCAACUCCCUCUCCAUUUCAUCAUGAGAAGAUGAGCCAGAAUCCAUGGACAAGAGGGUGGACAAAUGAUUGCUUUCAAUGGUUAAGGUUGUUAGAAGAUCUUCACCCAUUUUCCCCUUUGCAAGCAUUUCCUAUAAUUCGGGGUGGUCGUAGAGGUGCCUCUAGCCCUUAGCACAGAGUUCAAUGGAACUUACUGCUUUCAGUUCUAACCAAGUAUACAUGUGAAAAGGGAUCUUGAAAAUGCAUAAACAUACUAUAAGGAAUCCACUUCCAACUAACCGACUCUAAAUCCUGGAUCAGCCUAUUUGGAACAAAAUUUCCACCACAACUAACACUUAGUAACAUAACCAUGACCGCCUCAUCCACAUAUCCACAAAGAAUUAGACAACCCGAGAUUCAAACACCUUGAAUCAAACAACCAAGAUUCACAAUCCUUCAAAUUCCAGCCAAAACAGAUAACCAAAGAACCAUAUAAACCACUUCCCAAUGCUUUGCACACACACCCAUAUCAGAAAACUCACAACUUUAUCAAAUAAUUCAUCAAAUACCCACUAAAGAUUCAACCUUUCCAAGAUCAAAACACUAUUUCUUGAUUCCAAACAAAGCCUACAAUCUGAUUCCAAAACCAGAACACCAAUUCUUGAUUCCACACAAAGCCUACAAUCUGAUUCCAAAACCAGAACACCAAUUCUUGAUUCCAC